AAGACUACAAAUGCGUUUGCAUUGUCUGACUUAGCUUCUAGAAUUCUUGCCCUCUGCCAUGAGAAUCAUGUGUUUCAAAUAGUAACUGCUUCUUUUAUCUUGGGUUGCAGAUUGUGAAGACAGAAGAAGUCAACCUGAAAACAAACCACAGUUUGGAAUCAAGCCAAGGAUCAUCGGAAAGUACAGAAAAUCUGACCAUUCCUAAGAAGAAGAGUUGGAUUUACUCUCCUUAGGAUUUAAGGCCAAGUUCAAUAAAUAGUGAGUCACUGUACCUGCUACAUUAUUUUAUGUCCGAAAGCUAGAAAUGACAUAGCUUACUAUAUUCCUCCUACCCAGUGUUUCUCUAGCCUGUGCUAGACAAAUUCGGAGUUGGAAAUCUACUACAUUUUUGGGGAGUGCUCAUGGUUAGGGAGCUCUACCUUAUAUUAAGCUGAAAUCUGCUUUCUUGAAAGUGAUUA
Molecule: long non-coding RNA, 458 nt
Filed under: Macaca fascicularis (crab-eating macaque)
Lineage: Eukaryota; Metazoa; Chordata; Mammalia; Primates; Cercopithecidae
Description: lncRNA (ENSMFAG00000058607.1)
Source: RNAcentral